GUUUCAGGGCGGGGUGAGAUUCCCCACUGGCGGUAAAGUCCGCGACCACUCAUUUACGAUGGGUGCUGACCCGGUGCAACUCCGGGACCAACGGUAUAGUCCGGAUGUAAGAAA
Molecule: non-coding RNA, 114 nt
Filed under: uncultured Faecalibacterium sp.
Lineage: Bacteria; Bacillati; Bacillota; Clostridia; Eubacteriales; Oscillospiraceae
Description: FMN riboswitch (RFN element)
Rfam family: FMN riboswitch aptamer (RFN element)
About the family: The RFN element is a highly conserved domain that is found frequently in the 5'-untranslated regions of prokaryotic mRNAs that encode for flavin mononucleotide (FMN) biosynthesis and transport proteins. This element is a metabolite-dependent riboswitch that directly binds FMN in the absence of proteins.
Source: RNAcentral